RNAcentral lists this ribosomal RNA (433 nucleotides) under uncultured bacterium. RNAcentral describes it as "partial 16S ribosomal RNA". It matches the Rfam family "Bacterial small subunit ribosomal RNA", at positions 29 to 507 of the family's 1533-position model. The record is from RNAcentral.
AACGAACGCUGGCGGCAUGCCUAACACAUGCAAGUCGAACGAGACCUUCGGGUCUCGUGGCGCACGGGUGCGUAACGCGUGGGAACCUGCCCUUAGGUUCGGAAUAACUCCCCGAAAGGGGUGCUAAUACCGGAUAAUGUCUUCGGACCAAAGAUUUAUCGCCUUUGGAUGGGCCCGCGUUGGAUUAGCUAGGUGGUAGGGUAAAAGCCUACCAAGGCGACGAUCCAUAGCUGGUCUGAGAGGAUGAUCAGCCACACUGGGACUGAGACACGGCCCAGACUCCUACGGGAGGCAGAAGUGGGGAAUAUGGGACGAUGGGCGAAAGCCUGAGCCAGCAAUGCCGCGUGAGUGAUGAAGGCCUUAGGGUUGUAAAGCUCUUUUACCCGGGAUGAUAAUGACAGUACCGGGAGAAUAAGCUCCGGCUAACUCCGUG